Molecule: ribosomal RNA, 462 nt
Filed under: uncultured bacterium
Lineage: Bacteria
Description: partial 16S ribosomal RNA
Rfam family: Bacterial small subunit ribosomal RNA
Source: RNAcentral
GACGAACGCUGGCGGCGUGCUUAACACAUGCAAGUCGAGCGGAAAGGCCCUUCGGGGUACUCGAGCGGCGAACGGGUGAGUAACACGUGAGUAACCUGCCCCAGACUUUGGGAUAACCCUCGGAAACGGGGGCUAAUACCGGAUACGACACAGCUUCGCAUGGGGUCUGUGUGGAAAGUUUUUCGGUUUGGGAUGGGCUCGCGGCCUUUCAGCUUGUUGGUGGGGUGAUGGCCUACCAAAGCGACGACGGGUAGCCGGCCUGAGAGGGCGACCGGCCACACUGGGACUGAGACACGGCCCAGACUCCUACGGGAGGCAGCAGUGGGGAAUAUUGCACAAUGGGCGGAAGCCUGAUGCAGCGACGCCGCGUGAGGGAUGACGGCCUUCGGGUUGUAAACCUCUUUCAGCAGGGACGAAGCGUAAGUGACGGUACCUGCAGAAGAAGCGCCGGCCAACUACGUG